Molecule: transfer RNA, 64 nt
Filed under: Clostridium sp. CAG:411
Lineage: Bacteria; Bacillati; Bacillota; Clostridia; Eubacteriales; Clostridiaceae
Rfam family: tRNA
About the family: Transfer RNA (tRNA) molecules are approximately 80 nucleotides in length. Their secondary structure includes four short double-helical elements and three loops (D, anti-codon, and T loops).
Source: Rfam by way of RNAcentral
UGUGGCUCAGCUUGGCUAGAGCGCUUGAUUUGGGAUCAAGAGGUCGCAGGUUCGAAUCCUGUCA